This 287-nucleotide small RNA is filed under the name Planktothricoides sp. SR001. RNAcentral's name for it is "5' ureB small RNA". It matches the Rfam family "5' ureB small RNA". Lineage: Bacteria; Bacillati; Cyanobacteriota; Cyanophyceae; Oscillatoriales; Oscillatoriaceae. The record is from Rfam by way of RNAcentral.
CCACUUCUAUUUGUUGGGGACAAAUAAAGUGAAUAUGGGAGUCAAUUCCGCCUGCGGUGAGAAUCAUUCCUUCCCCGGCGAUCGCCUCGGUUCCUGGGCCAAUAAUAAUAUCGACGUUAUCUUGAAUAUAAGGAUUUCCGGCUUUGCCAAUUUUAAAAAUUUUGCCGUCUUUAAUGCCAAUAUCUGCUUUAACAAUUCCCCACCAAUCGAGAAUUAAAGCAUUGGUAAUUACUAAAUCCACAGCCCCAUCUGCACAGGAAAUCGGCGAUUGUCCCAUGCCAUCGCGA